AUUGAACGCUGGCGGCAGGCUUAACACAUGCAAGUCGAGCGGAGAUGAGGUGCUUGCACCUUAUCUUAGCGGCGGACGGGUGAGUAAUGCUUAGGAAUCUGCCUAUUAGUGGGGGACAACAUUCCGAAAGGAAUGCUAAUACCGCAUACGUCCUACGGGAGAAAGCAGGGGAUCUUCGGACCUUGCGCUAAUAGAUGAGCCUAAGUCGGAUUAGCUAGUUGGUGGGGUAAAGGCCUAACAAGGCGACGAUCUGUAGCGGGUCUGAGAGGAUGACCCGCCAACCUGGGAGUGGGAAACGGCCCAGACUCCUACGGGAGGCAGCAGUGGGGAAUAUUGGACAAUGGGGGGAACACUGAUCCAGCCAUGCCGCGUGUGUGAAGAAGGCCUUAUGGUUGUAAAGCACUUUAAGCGAGGAGGAGGCUACUGAGACUAAUACUCUUGGAUAGUGGACGUUACUCGCAGAAUAAGCACCGGCUAACUCUGUGCCAGCAGCCGCAGUAA
Molecule: ribosomal RNA, 501 nt
Filed under: uncultured bacterium
Lineage: Bacteria
Description: partial 16S ribosomal RNA
Rfam family: Bacterial small subunit ribosomal RNA
Source: RNAcentral